RNAcentral lists this ribosomal RNA (460 nucleotides) under uncultured bacterium. RNAcentral's name for it is "partial 16S ribosomal RNA". It matches the Rfam family "Bacterial small subunit ribosomal RNA", at positions 338 to 795 of the family's 1533-position model. The record is from RNAcentral.
CCUACGGGUGGCAGCAGUGAGGAAUAUUGGUCAAUGGGCGCGAGCCUGAACCAGCCAAGUCGCGUGAAGGAUGACUGCCCUACGGUUUGUAAACUUCUUUUAUAGAGGAAUAAAGUUAUGCACGUGUGCCUUUUUGCAUGUACUCUAUGAAUAAGGAUCGGCUAACUCCGUGCCAGCAGCCGCGGUAAUACGGAGGAUCCGAGCGUUAUCCGGAUUUAUUGGGUUUAAAGGGAGCGUAGGUGGUGUUUUAAGUCAGUGGUGAAAGUUUGCGGCUCAACCGUAAAAUUGCAGUUGAUACUGGCAGCCUUGAGUGUAGUUGAGGUAGGCGGAAUUCGUGGUGUAGCGGUGAAAUGCUUAGAUAUCACGAAGAACUCCGAUUGCGAAGGCAGCUUACUAAACUGUAACUGACACUGAUGCUCGAAAGCGUGGGGAUCAAACAGGAUUAGAUACCCUUGUAGUC